GAUGAACGCUGGCGGCGUGCCUAAUACAUGCAAGUCGAGCGAACAGAUGAGGAGCUUGCUCCUCUGACGUUAGCGGCGGACGGGUGAGUAACACGUGGAUAACCUACCUAUAAGACUGGGAUAACUUCGGGAAACCGGAGCUAAUACCGGAUCAUAUAUUGAACCGCAUGGUUCAAUAGUGAAAGACGGUUUUGCUGUCACUUAUAGAUGGAUCCGCGCCGCAUUAGCUAGUUGGUAAGGUAACGGCUUACCAAGGCAACGAUGCGUAGCCGACCUGAGAGGGUGAUCGGCCACACUGGAACUGAGACACGGUCCAGACUCCUACGGGAGGCAGCAGUAGGGAAUCUUCCGCAAUGGGCGAAAGCCUGACGGAGCAACGCCGCGUGAGUGAUGAAGGUCUUCGGAUCGUAAAACUCUGUUAUUAGGGAAGAACAAAUGUGUAAGUAACUAUGCACGUCUUGACGGUACCUAAUCAGAAAGCAACGGCUAACUACGUG
This 497-nucleotide ribosomal RNA is filed under the name uncultured bacterium. RNAcentral describes it as "partial 16S ribosomal RNA". It matches the Rfam family "Bacterial small subunit ribosomal RNA", at positions 28 to 507 of the family's 1533-position model. The record is from RNAcentral.